This 438-nucleotide ribosomal RNA is filed under the name uncultured bacterium. RNAcentral's name for it is "partial 16S ribosomal RNA". It matches the Rfam family "Bacterial small subunit ribosomal RNA", at positions 339 to 795 of the family's 1533-position model. The record is from RNAcentral.
CUACGGGUGGCACCAGUGAGGAAUAUUGCACAAUGGGGGGAACCCUGAUGCAGCAACGCCGCGUGGAGGAUGACGCAUUUCGGUGUGUAAACUCCUUUUAUAUGUCAAGAAAAUGACGGUAGCAUAUGAAUAAGCACCGGCUAACUCCGUGCCAGCAGCCGCGGUAAUACGGAGGGUGCAAGCGUUACUCGGAAUCACUGGGGGUAAAGGACGCGUAGGCGGGUUGGAAAGUCAGGUGUGAAAUCCUACAGCUUAACUGUAGAACUGCACUUGAAACUUCUAAUCUAGAGUAGGGGAGGGGGAGAUGGAAUUAGUGGUGUAGGGGUAAAAUCCGUAGAUAUCACUAGGAAUACCUAAAGCGAAGGCGAUCUCCUGGAACAUUACUGACGCUAAGGCGUGAAAGCGUGGGGAGCAAACAGGAUUAGAUACCCGGGUGUC